This 600-nucleotide ribosomal RNA is filed under the name uncultured archaeon. Its description in RNAcentral is "bacterial SSU rRNA". It matches the Rfam family "Archaeal small subunit ribosomal RNA", at positions 321 to 923 of the family's 1478-position model. The record is from RNAcentral.
CCCUAUGGGGCGCAGCAGGCGCGAAACCUCUGCAAUAGGCGAAAGCCUGACAGGGUUACUCUGAGUGACUUUCGCUAAGAAAGUCUUUUGGCACCUCUAAAAAGGGUGCAGAAUAAGGGGUGGGCAAGUCUGGUGUCAGCCGCCGCGGUAAUACCAGCACCCCGAGUGGUCGGGACGAUUAUUGGGCCUAAAGCACCCGUAGCCGGUUCUGCAAGUCCCCCGUUAAAUCCAGCUGCUCAACAGAUGGGCCGCGGAGGAUACUACAGAGCUAGGAGGCAGGAGAGGCAAGCGGUACUCAGUGGGUAGGGGUAAAAUCCUCUGAUCCAUCGAGGACCACCAGUGGCGAAGGCGGUCUGCCAGAACACGUUCGACGGUGAGGGAUGAAAGCUGGGGGAGCAAACCGGAUUAGAUACCCGGGUAGUCCCAGCUGUAAACGAUGCAAACUCGAUGAUGCAUUGGCUUAUGGCCAAUGCAGUGCCGCAGGGAAGCCGUUAAGUUUGCCGCCUGGGAAGUACGGACGCAAGUCUGAAACUUAAAGGAAUUGGCGGGGGAGCACCACAAGGGGUGAAGCCUGCGGUUCAAUUGGACUCAACGCCGGUA